UACGUAGGGGGCAAGCGUUGUCCGGAUUUACUGGGCGUAAAGAGCGCGUAGGCGGAAGCUUAAGCGGUGCCUGAAAGCCCCCGGCUCAACCGGGGAGGGUGGUGCCGAACUGGGCUUCUUGAGGGCGAUAGAGGAGAGUGGAAUUCCGGGUGUAGCGGUGAAAUGCGUAGAGAUCCGGAGGAACACCAGUGGCGCAGGCGGCUCUCUGGGACGGUACUGACGCUAAGGCGCGAAAGCGUGGGGAGCGAACAGG
This 253-nucleotide ribosomal RNA is filed under the name uncultured bacterium. RNAcentral's name for it is "partial 16S ribosomal RNA". It matches the Rfam family "Bacterial small subunit ribosomal RNA", at positions 524 to 776 of the family's 1533-position model. The record is from RNAcentral.